GGGUGAGUAACACGUGGAUAACCUACCUAUAAGACUGGGAUAACUUCGGUAAACCGGAGCUAAUACCGGAUAAUAUUUUGAACCGCAUGGUUCAAAAGUGAAAGACGGUCUUGCUGUCACUUAUAGAUGGAUCCGCGCUGCAUUAGCUAGUUGGUAAGGUAACGGCUUACCAAGGCAACGAUGCAUAGCCUAUCUGAGAGGGUGAUCGGCCACACUGGAACUGAGACACGGUCCAG
This 236-nucleotide ribosomal RNA is filed under the name uncultured Staphylococcus sp. RNAcentral describes it as "partial 16S ribosomal RNA". It matches the Rfam family "Bacterial small subunit ribosomal RNA", at positions 104 to 334 of the family's 1533-position model. The record is from RNAcentral. Lineage: Bacteria; Bacillati; Bacillota; Bacilli; Caryophanales; Staphylococcaceae.